AUCCUAUUCUUGUUAGUAUGACCUAGCCUACAAUAUCAAAGAUAGGCAUCUGAGACAUCAUCUAUCCUAGGGCAUUUGUUUGACAUGUACAUUAUACUAGACCGUGAUACAACAUAAAUUUUAUUUUUUAAUUAUCCAUGUAUUACAGUAACAUCAUUCAAAAUGAUAUCAUAAAAAAAAAAUUUAUUGAAAUCUUAUAAUUUUUUUUGAUCAAAAGGUCUACAAAAAUUACAUUCAAUA
This 240-nucleotide long non-coding RNA is filed under the name Elaeis guineensis (African oil palm). RNAcentral describes it as "long non-coding RNA (EGUI_LNC060625)". The record is from RNAcentral. Lineage: Eukaryota; Viridiplantae; Streptophyta; Magnoliopsida; Arecales; Arecaceae.